UACGUAGGGUGCAAGCGUUGUCCGGAAUUAUUGGGCGUAAAGAGCUCGUAGGCGGCCUGUCGCGUCGGAUGUGAAAAUCCAAGGCUCAACCUUGGACCUGCAUUCGAUACGGGCAGGCUAGAGUUCGGUAGGGGGGACUGGAAUUCCUGGUGUAGCGGUGAAAUGCGCAGAUAUCAGGAGGAACACCGGUGGCGAAGGCGGGUCUCUGGGCAGUAACUGACGCUGAGGAGCGAAAGCGUGGGGAGCGAACAGG
RNAcentral lists this ribosomal RNA (253 nucleotides) under uncultured bacterium. RNAcentral describes it as "partial 16S ribosomal RNA". It matches the Rfam family "Bacterial small subunit ribosomal RNA", at positions 524 to 776 of the family's 1533-position model. The record is from RNAcentral.